AUCUCCCCGCGGCUGCACGCUCUGGGGUGCGCACGGUGCCCGGCUCCUCACCCCGACCCUGCGCAGGGGAGCGGGAGCGGAGCGGCAGAGCUGAGCAGGGGCUGCCUCACUCCGUGGCAGGUCGCCCGCCCGUGGGUGGGGGGCACGGGGGCCAGGAGGAGGCGGGCACCCUCCUCUCCCCUCCUUUCCUUCCUUUCCCCUCCCACCCCGCCGCUCUGCGGGCGCGGGGUGCGGCCUUGCAGGUCACUGCUGGUCUCCACCGAGAUCCCCGCGGCGCGGAGCGGAGCGGCGAGGAGUGGUCCCGGCCAUGGUGCUACGCGCCGCGGGGCUCAUCGGCUACUGCUGCUGCCUGCUGCCUGUCGUCCUCCCCGCAGCCCCAGGUACUUUUGUGUUUCAAGUAGUUUUGAAACAAUGCAUUUUGAGUGGCAUGUUGUGAAAUUACAUACAUGGUUCUGUUCUGAAAUUUCCCUUUUAAAGGCGUGAACUGUAAAACUGGUUGCCACCCAGAGAAUGGAUUUUGUGAAUUUCCCAGUGAAUGCAGGUGUCAGCCUGGUUGGCAAGGUGCUCUUUGUAAUCAAUGUGUUCCUUUCCCUGGGUGUUUACACGGCAGCUGUGCCAAGCCUUGGCAGUGCAUCUGUGAGGAGGGAUGGGUUGGCAGCCUCUGUGACAUAGACAUUCACCCAUGUUCUGCAAAGCCCUGCACCAAUAACUCAACAUGCAUAGAAACUGGUGAUGGAGGAUAUAUUUGUCUGUGUGGCCAGGGAUUUACAGGAAAAAACUGCCAUCUCAAAAAAGGACCUUGCAUUAUUAACGGUUCUCCCUGCCAGAAUGGAGGAACAUGCAUUGAUGACAAUGGUUUUGCACCCCAUGCUUCCUGUCUGUGUCCUUCUGGUUUUGCUGGCAACUUCUGUGAAAUAGAUAGAGAUGACUGUGAAUCCAGCCCGUGUGAAAAUGGAGGAACAUGUACAGAUACUGGUGUGGGUUUCAGCUGUUUUUGUCCCCAUGGCUAUACAGGAAAGCUCUGCAGCAGCCGUGUCAUGUUCUGUGCAAGUGGCCCAUGUGAGAAUGGAGGCACAUGCAGCGAACAUCCCCAAGGAGGAUUCAAAUGCAUCUGUAAAUCAGAAUUCAUUGGUGUGACCUGCAAACAUCCCAGCAAAAACACAAGUCUUUCUGGAGCAAAUAUGGAGGCAAAGCACAUGCAGAAUUACAAGCCAACCUCAAAAGUUCAUCACAGAUCAGUGCAUCAAGAAAUCCUGAAAAUAACAAUGAAAGAAACCAUCCAAAAUGCAGAUCCCUUGCUGAGUAGAAGCCAGGUGAUAUGUUUUGUUGUACUGGGCUUGCUUACAUGUCUUGUUGUCUUGGGUACAACUGGGAUUGUGUUUUUUUCAAAAUGUGAAAUGUGGCUUGCUAAUGCCAAAUACAGUCAUCUCCUACGCAAGAAAAAGAACUUUUUUCUGAAAUCUAACAAUGGGGAAAACCUCUCAGUUAAUAUUAUCUUCCCAGAGAAGAUCAAAUUGACUAAUUAUACUAAGAACUACACUGCCAUUUAGGCCCUUGAAAGCCAAGCAGCAACUUGCAACUUUUCAUAGCGAUAUGUAAAAUAGAUUGAAUUUACUGUCCAUAAUUGGCCUCAAUAUUUGUGGGUACAUUUUCUGUAGUUUGUGCUGAGUGAUAAUGAAAAAAUGUAAUGUAUCUGUAUUGCUAAGGAUGUUUUCAUUCCCAAAAUAAAAGGUAAAAUUAAAUAAAUUUUUAAAAAUAUUAAAUAGCAGGGAAUUAUUUCUUUUUAGGGCAGCUAUUGUUUGUAAAAUAUAAAGUAAUCUAUCUACCACUGGAACUGUAUUGCAUCUUUCUUGUCUUGUGCAAAGUUUGUGUGGCAAAUACAGUACCUGUAAAUUUCGCUUUUUUUAAAUAAACAGCAGUUAAGGGCUA
This is an RNA transcript of Strigops habroptila (Kakapo), 1929 nucleotides long. It is a transcript of the gene named delta like non-canonical Notch ligand 1, with no coding region annotated. NCBI's taxonomy places the organism in Eukaryota, Metazoa, Chordata, Aves, Psittaciformes, Psittacidae. The record is from RefSeq and is a predicted model, not a curated record. The transcript has 6 exons.